This 76-nucleotide transfer RNA is filed under the name Pontivivens nitratireducens. RNAcentral's name for it is "Pontibrevibacter nitratireducens tRNA-Thr". It matches the Rfam family "tRNA". From Rfam's summary of the family: Transfer RNA (tRNA) molecules are approximately 80 nucleotides in length. Their secondary structure includes four short double-helical elements and three loops (D, anti-codon, and T loops). Further hydrogen bonds mediate the characteristic L-shaped molecular structure. tRNAs have two regions of fundamental functional importance: the anti-codon, which is responsible for specific mRNA codon recognition, and the 3' end, to which the tRNAs corresponding amino acid is attached (by aminoacyl-tRNA synthetases). tRNAs cope with the degeneracy of the genetic code in two manners: having more than one tRNA (with a specific anti-codon) for a particular amino acid; and 'wobble' base-pairing, i.e. permitting non-standard base-pairing at the 3rd anti-codon position. The record is from RNAcentral. Lineage: Bacteria; Pseudomonadati; Pseudomonadota; Alphaproteobacteria; Rhodobacterales; Paracoccaceae.
GCCGCAGUAGCUCAGUUGGUAGAGCACAUCAUUCGUAAUGAUGGGGUCGGGGGUUCGAAUCCCUUCUGCGGCACCA